AUGCCCAGACAAGAAUCAGUCGACCAGUCGGCAGGAUUAACAGAAAUGAAUACGACAAGGGCGCAGUGGAGAGCAGAGCAAGUGUACCUUGUUUGGGUCGCUGUUGUGGUCGAGUGGAGGAAUCCUUCUGGCUCCGCGCGGGUUGUCCUUGUUUCCGGUAACGGCUACCAUCCAUCUUUCCAGAGUGACGUCGUCGACUGCUUCUGGAUGGACUCUAGUCUCGUCUUCGGUCCCACAGUACAACCACAUGCAGUGGCUCCGGAAUUGAAGGGGUUGGAUGCGACGCCUGAGGAAGACCUCCAGAAGAUCCAUGCCCGUCACCCCCUCCCGAACCAACUGCACCACGCGCUCCAUCAACAUCUUCACGUCGGCUUUCUCCUCCGGAAUCAGCUUCAGAGGGGAGGGCUUGUUCACUCGGUCCAUGGUAAACGGAGGGAGUCCACUCGACUGCCCUGGCGUCGACUGGACCUGGCAGUAGAACCAAGUCGACUGCCAGCCUCUGACGGACUCGGGAAAGGUCAUGGGCGGGAAGGUGCUCUUAUUCCUCACCUGGAUCCCCAGGCCCCCACACAUUUGGACGACUCGGGUUUUCUCAUCACCUGGGCUCGCCUUCUUCACGGUCUGAGAGCGACACGUGAAGAUAUGUUUGAACAAACCCCAGUGCGGUCGACAGCCCAAGAAACCCUCACACAUGGACACGAAUGCAGCAAGAUAGGCAAUGGAGUUUGGGGUAAAGUGGUGAAGUUGCGCUCCAAAGAAAUUCAAGAAGCCACGGAAGAAAAUACUUGGCGGCAAGGAAAACCCACGAUCAACAUGAGUGGCCAAAAGCACACACUCACCCUCUUCUGGCUGUGGAUGCCACUCCUCCCCCGGCAACCUCGCAGCUCCGUGGGGAAUCAAGCCCUCGUUGGCCAUGUCGAGGAGGUCCUUCUCUGUGAUGGUCGACUGGAUCUAGUCUCCUUGGACCCAGCCCUUCGGCAGGCGGGACCUGGACGAGGACCCUCCGCGGCUGGUGGAUCUCCCCUUCGCCUUCUCCGACGCCGACGCCUUCUUGGCGCGCUCCAGCACCGCCGUCUUCUCCUUGGCCAUGGUCGCCGGAGAGAUGCGCGAAGGGAAGUGGUGCGGGGGCGAGAGCGAGCACGCUGA
Molecule: ribosomal RNA, 1146 nt
Filed under: Triticum aestivum (bread wheat)
Lineage: Eukaryota; Viridiplantae; Streptophyta; Magnoliopsida; Poales; Poaceae
Description: partial small subunit ribosomal RNA
Source: RNAcentral